This 255-nucleotide ribosomal RNA is filed under the name Vibrio parahaemolyticus. RNAcentral's name for it is "partial 23S ribosomal RNA". It matches the Rfam family "Bacterial large subunit ribosomal RNA", at positions 1467 to 1717 of the family's 2925-position model. Lineage: Bacteria; Pseudomonadati; Pseudomonadota; Gammaproteobacteria; Vibrionales; Vibrionaceae. The record is from RNAcentral.
GGGGGACGGAGAAGGCUAGGUGGGCCUGGCGACGGUUGUCCAGGUUCAAGUGCGUAGGCUUAAGAGUUAGGUAAAUCCGGCUCUUUUUAAGGCUGAGACACGACGUCGAGCACCUACGGGUGUGAAGCCAUUGAUGCCAUGCUUCCAGGAAAAGCCUCUAAGCUUCAGAUUGUAAGGAAUCGUACCCCAAACCGACACAGGUGGUCGGGUAGAGAAUACCAAGGCGCUUGAGAGAACUCGGGUGAAGGAACUAGG